This 442-nucleotide ribosomal RNA is filed under the name uncultured bacterium. Its description in RNAcentral is "partial 16S ribosomal RNA". It matches the Rfam family "Bacterial small subunit ribosomal RNA", at positions 338 to 795 of the family's 1533-position model. The record is from RNAcentral.
CCUACGGGUGGCAGCAGUAGGGAAUCUUUCACAAUGGGCGAAAGCCUGAUGGAGCAACGCCGCGUGCAGGAUGAAGGCCUUCGGGUUGUAAACUGCUUUUAUCAGCGAGAAAUAUGAUGGUAACUUAUGAAUAAGGCUCGGCUAACUACGUGCCAGCAGCCGCGGUCAUACGUAGGAUCCGAGCAUUAUCCGGAGUGACUGGGUGUAAAGAGUUGCGUAGGUGGCAUAAUAAGUAGCUAGGGAAAUCUGGUGGCUCAACCAUUCAGACUAUUAGCUAAACUGUUAAGCUCGAGACCGUUAGGGGUAACUGGAAUUUCUAGUGUAGGGGUGAAAUCCGUAGAUAUUAGAAGGAACACCAAUAGCGUAGGCAGGUUGCUGGGACGGGUCUGACACUAAGGCACGAAAGCGUAGGGAGCAAACGGGAUUAGAUACCCCAGUAGUC